Molecule: long non-coding RNA, 878 nt
Organism: Pseudophryne corroboree (corroboree frog)
Lineage: Eukaryota; Metazoa; Chordata; Amphibia; Anura; Myobatrachidae
Exons: 3
Source: RefSeq, a predicted model, not a curated record
ACUGGCUUCCACUACCUGCGGGGGCAUGAGAAUCGGAGGUUACCAGCAGCUACUGGGGAUCCUCUGUGACCCUAUCUCCCGCUCUAUGCUCCUCCUCUACCUGACACCAAUGUGCUCCAAGAGUCGGGAGGGCACCGGCCACCUGUACUGCCCCCUGCUGAUGACAGUAUUUUGGGUGUGGGUGGGUUACUAUGGUGCGAGUGCCGGGCAGGAGGCACAGGACACAUGCCCACUGUCAGCGCCCGUCAUAUGCUCCAGAGUCCUGGCCCUAGGGCAUGGGGAAAUCCUAGGGCCAUCUGGGCAGGCAGAGCAGCACGGCAUACUACUGUCAGUGUCAGCACAGCUGAAAGUGAAACUACAGAGGAGUCCGAUCAGGGGGCGUGGCUACACGGGUCACUGCUGCCUUCCUGCAAUGUGGGAAACUGAGGGGAGGAAUGGCUCUGAGCUGCAAUACUGAACAUUGUGAUAUGCUGCCAUGUAAUUGUGAUGUGUUAAGCAGCUGCCCGGGAUCUGCCACCACGAGGAGCCUGACUGCCAGCGAGGAGAGAUGGGCCGGCCUGACCGUUACAUCGCGGAGAGUACCAUAUGUGGAGGGUGCUGCUGCUGCCUUCUCAUGUCCUCCCGAGGUGUGCUCGCACACCUGCUGCACUGCUCAAAGAGAGAGCCUGGAUCACAGGGUGAGGUGAGUGGGGAGCCAGGGAGGGAAACCACUGGGACAGGGUCGCACACUGCGGCCGCCAUCUUUCUGCACCUCUGCCUUAGUCACUCUAUACCUGUCACCCACUAUCUCCCUGUCAGCCCUGUCUCAGUCAAAGUAUAGAUAGCGUGGCGAGCCACCGUGCCCGCAGCAUGGCGAGCCCGCAAGGGGCUCAUUUGCG